GGGCCCGUGGCUCAACGGUAGAGCAUUCGACUCAAUACCAAUCGUCGCGAGUUCGAAUCCUGGCUGGUCCA
RNAcentral lists this transfer RNA (71 nucleotides) under Schistocephalus solidus. It matches the Rfam family "tRNA". From Rfam's summary of the family: Transfer RNA (tRNA) molecules are approximately 80 nucleotides in length. Their secondary structure includes four short double-helical elements and three loops (D, anti-codon, and T loops). The record is from Rfam by way of RNAcentral. Lineage: Eukaryota; Metazoa; Platyhelminthes; Cestoda; Diphyllobothriidea; Diphyllobothriidae.